UUAAGCGACUAAGCGUACACGGUGGAUGCCCUGGCAGUCAGAGGCGAUGAAGGACGUGCUAAUCUGCGAAAAGCGUCGGUAAGGUGAUAUGAACCGUUAUAGCCGGCGAUGUCCGAAUGGGGAAACCCAGUGCAAUUCGUUGCACUAUCGUUAACUGAAUACAUAGGUUAACGAGGCGAACCGGGGGAACUGAAACAUCUAAGUACCCCGAGGAAAAGAAAUCAACCGAGAUUCCCCCAGUAGCGGCGAGCGAACGGGGAGCAGCCCAGAGUCUGAAUCAGCUUGUGUGUUAGUGGAACGGUCUGGAAAGUCCGACGGUACAGGGUGAUAGUCCCGUACACCAAAAUGCACAGGCUGUGAACUCGAAGAGUAGGGCGGGACACGUGGUAUCCUGUCUGAAUAUGGGGGGACCAUCCUCCAAGGCUAAAUACUCCUGACUGACCGAUAGUGAACCAGUACCGUGAGGGAAAGGCGAAAAGAACCCCGGCGAGGGGAGUGAAAAAGAACCUGAAACCGUGUACGUACAAGCAGUGGGAGCACCUUCGGGUGUGACUGCGUACCUUUUGUAUAAUGGGUCAGCGACUUAUAUUCUGUAGCAAGGUUAACCGUAUAGGGGAGCCGCAGGGAAACCGAGUCUUAACUGGGCGUUAAGUUGCAGGGUAUAGACCCGAAACCCGGUGAUCUAGCCAUGGGCAGGUUGAAGGUUGGGUAACACUAACUGGAGGACCGAACCGACUAAUGUUGAAAAAUUAGCGGAUGACUUGUGGCUGGGGGUGAAAGGCCAAUCAAACCGGGAGAUAGCUGGUUCUCCCCGAAAGCUAUUUAGGUAGCGCCUCGUGAAUUCAUCUUCGGGGGUAGAGCACUGUUUCGGCUAGGGGGUCAUCCCGACUUACCAACCCGAUGCAAACUACGAAUACCGAAGAAUGUUAUCACGGGAGACACACGGCGGGUGCUAACGUCCGUCGUGAAGAGGGAAACAACCCAGACCGCCAGCUAAGGUCCCAAAGUCAUGGUUAAGUGGGAAACGAUGUGGGAAGGCACAGACAGCCAGGAUGUUGGCUUAGAAGCAGCCAUCAUUUAAAGAAAGCGUAAUAGCUCACUGGUCGAGUCGGCCUGCGCGGAAGAUGUAACGGGGCUAAACCAUGCACCGAAGCUGCGGCAGCGACACUAUGUGUUGUUGGGUAGGGGAGCGUUCUGUAAGCCUGCGAAGGUGACCUGUGAGGCAUGCUGGAGGUAUCAGAAGUGCGAAUGCUGACAUAAGUAACGAUAAAGCGGGUGAAAAGCCCGCUCGCCGGAAGACCAAGGGUUCCUGUCCAACGUUAAUCGGGGCAGGGUGAGUCGACCCCUAAGGCGAGGCCGAAAGGCGUAGUCGAUGGGAAACAGGUUAAUAUUCCUGUACUUGGUGUUACUGCGAAGGGGGGACGGAGAAGGCUAUGUUAGCCGGGCGACGGUUGUCCCGGUUUAAGCAUGUAGGCUGAUUGUCCAGGCAAAUCCGGAUAAUCAAGGCUGAGGUGUGAUGACGAGGCACUACGGUGCUGAAGUAACAAAUGCCCUGCUUCCAGGAAAAGCCUCUAAGCAUCAGGUAACAUUAAAUCGUACCCCAAACCGACACAGGUGGUCAGGUAGAGAAUACCAAGGCGCUUGAGAGAACUCGGGUGAAGGAACUAGGCAAAAUGGUGCCGUAACUUCGGGAGAAGGCACGCUGGUGUGUAGGUGAAGUCCCUGCGGAUGGAGCUGAGACCAGUCGAAGAUACCAGCUGGCUGCAACUGUUUAUUAAAAACACAGCACUGUGCAAACACGAAAGUGGACGUAUACGGUGUGACGCCUGCCCGGUGCCGGAAGGUUAAUUGAUGGGGUUAUCCGUAAGGAGAAGCUCUUGAUCGAAGCCCCGGUAAACGGCGGCCGUAACUAUAACGGUCCUAAGGUAGCGAAAUUCCUUGUCGGGUAAGUUCCGACCUGCACGAAUGGCGUAAUGAUGGCCAGGCUGUCUCCACCCGAGACUCAGUGAAAUUGAACUCGCUGUGAAGAUGCAGUGUACCCGCGGCAAGACGGAAAGACCCCGUGAACCUUUACUAUAGCUUGACACUGAACAUUGAGCCUUGAUGUGUAGGAUAGGUGGGAGGCUUUGAAGCGUGGACGCCAGUCUGCGUGGAGCCAACCUUGAAAUACCACCCUUUAAUGUUUGAUGUUCUAACGUUGGCCCCUGACCGGGGUUGCGGACAGUGUCUGGUGGGUAGUUUGACUGGGGCGGUCUCCUCCCAAAGCGUAACGGAGGAGCACGAAGGUUAGCUAAUCCUGGUCGGACAUCAGGAGGUUAGUGCAAUGGCAUAAGCUAGCUUGACUGCGAGCGUGACGGCGCGAGCAGGUGCGAAAGCAGGUCAUAGUGAUCCGGUGGUUCUGAAUGGAAGGGCCAUCGCUCAACGGAUAAAAGGUACUCCGGGGAUAACAGGCUGAUACCGCCCAAGAGUUCAUAUCGACGGCGGUGUUUGGCACCUCGAUGUCGGCUCAUCACAUCCUGGGGCUGAAGUAGGUCCCAAGGGUAUGGCUGUUCGCCAUUUAAAGUGGUACGCGAGCUGGGUUUAGAACGUCGUGAGACAGUUCGGUCCCUAUCUGCCGUGGGCGCUGGAGAAUUGAGGGGGGCUGCUCCUAGUACGAGAGGACCGGAGUGGACGCAUCACUGGUGUUCGGGUUGUCAUGCCAAUGGCACUGCCCGGUAGCUAAAUGCGGAAGAGAUAAGUGCUGAAAGCAUCUAAGCACGAAACUUGCCCCGAGAUGAGUUCUCCCUGAGACUUUAAGUCUCCUGAAGGAACGUUGAAGACGACGACGUUGAUAGGCCGGGUGUGUAAGCGCAGCGAUGCGUUGAGCUAACCGGUACUAAUGAACCGUGAGGCUUAACCU
RNAcentral lists this ribosomal RNA (2899 nucleotides) under Klebsiella pneumoniae. RNAcentral describes it as "bacterial LSU rRNA". It matches the Rfam family "Bacterial large subunit ribosomal RNA". The record is from RNAcentral. Lineage: Bacteria; Pseudomonadati; Pseudomonadota; Gammaproteobacteria; Enterobacterales; Enterobacteriaceae.